UACGUAGGUGGCAAGCGUUGUCCGGAUUUACUGGGCGUAAAGAGCGCGCAGGCGGUCGUAUAAGUCGAAUGUGAAAGCCCCCGGCUCAACUGGGGAGGGUCAUUCGAUACUGUUCGACUCGAAGGCAGGAGAGGGAAGUGGAAUUCCGGGUGUAGUGGUGAAAUGCGUAGAUAUCCGGAGGAACACCAGUGGCGAAGGCGACACGCUGGGCCUGGCCUGACGCUCAGACGCGAAAGCAUGGGGAGCGAAC
This 250-nucleotide ribosomal RNA is filed under the name uncultured bacterium. RNAcentral describes it as "partial 16S ribosomal RNA". It matches the Rfam family "Bacterial small subunit ribosomal RNA", at positions 524 to 773 of the family's 1533-position model. The record is from RNAcentral.